Molecule: long non-coding RNA, 295 nt
Filed under: Mytilus galloprovincialis (Mediterranean mussel)
Lineage: Eukaryota; Metazoa; Mollusca; Bivalvia; Mytilida; Mytilidae
Source: RNAcentral
GCUCAUCUUGUUGUCGAGUAUCCAGAUUCUGUUUCGUUUCUUUACAGUCAUUUUUGUGUAUUUUUUGUUGUUAGAUUGCUGUAUAGUUGACUCUCUUUUCAUUCUCAUAUUUUAUCCAAUUCUGGAACAUGUCUAUUAUAUAAAAACAAUUUUCAUUUUUUUCUCGGCAAAUUAACCUAUCAAAACGAUUGUCACUCUCUCCAUCGGCUCAAAGAGGAAUAACUCUAAUAAACGUUUCCAGUUCGCGGAAACCGCGACGUCAUAAACCUCUGACGGCAUAGUACUGUUGCGCUUG